Molecule: non-coding RNA, 297 nt
Organism: Maylandia zebra (zebra mbuna)
Lineage: Eukaryota; Metazoa; Chordata; Actinopteri; Cichliformes; Cichlidae
Source: RefSeq, a predicted model, not a curated record
AAGAGGUUCUCCAGGAAUAUCACACAACACAAACUCUAACAGAUGCUACCAGAAGAAAAAUGGUCAAUAUAAUAGUGGCUCACAUGAUUGAUUGCCAUGGGCACCUCCCCACCAAAGCUGUUAGAGAACAGUACGCGCUAGGGGUAGUGACAUUGUUCCCAUCCCUGAAAGACCCAUACUCCAAGAAAGGCUAUGAACACUUCUAUGAUGCUGCAAGCAGCACUGGAUACAUUUCUUGGCGUUUGAAAACGAUACAGAGAAAGACUAGAAGAGGAUCUGCACCACCAAGUAGCUCCA